Molecule: ribosomal RNA, 245 nt
Filed under: uncultured bacterium
Lineage: Bacteria
Description: partial 16S ribosomal RNA
Rfam family: Bacterial small subunit ribosomal RNA
Source: RNAcentral
UACGAGGGGGGCAAGUGUUGUUCGGAUUUACUGGGUGUAAAGGGAGUGUAGGCGGCUUGAUAAGUCAGGGGUGAAAUGCCCGCGCUUAACGCGGUGCUCUGCCUUUGAUACUGUCAGGCUUGAAUGUUGGAGAGGGUAACGGAAUUUCAGGUGUAGCGGUGGAAUGCGUAGAUAUCUGAAAGAACACCAGUUGCGAAGGCGGUUACCUGGCCAAACAUUGACGCUGAGGCUCGAAAGCCGAGGGA